Molecule: ribosomal RNA, 459 nt
Filed under: uncultured bacterium
Lineage: Bacteria
Description: bacterial SSU rRNA
Rfam family: Bacterial small subunit ribosomal RNA
Source: RNAcentral
CGAGCACGGGAGUAGCAAUACAACUGGUGGCGACCGGCGCACGGGUGAGUAACGCGUAUGCAACCUACCAUCGAGAGGGGAAGUAACCCGGCGAAAGUCGGACUAAUACCGCAUAAAACAGGGGCACCGCAUGGUGAUAUUUGUUAAAGAAAUUCGCUGAUAGAUGGGCAUGCGUUCCAUUAGGUAGUUGGUGAGGUAACGGCUCACCAAGCCGACGAUGGAUAGGGGAACUGAGAGGUUGGUCCCCCACACUGGUACUGAGACACGGACCAGACUCCUACGGGAGGCAGCAGUGAGGAAUAUUGGUCAAUGGGCGAGAGCCUGAACCAGCCAAGUCGCGUGAAGGAAGAAGGAUCUAUGGUUCGUAAACUUCUUUUGCAGGGGAAUAAAGUGCAGGACGUGUCCUGUUUUGUAUGUACCCUGAGAAUAAGGAUCGGCUAACUCCGUGCCAGCCGCCGC